CGGAUGUUCAUGACGUCAUCCUGAAGGCGAGCGGAGAAAGCGAGUGGAGAGGGGGGAGCCGCGCUUCACAUCAAAUGUCCCCUGUGGCCAUGGCAACAGCUUUGGGGGAGGGGGUGCCGGUCCGCGGGCCAGCAGCGGGCAGCCUGCGACUCCUGCCAGGGUCCAGCGCUCCGCUGGGGUAGAGUCCGUCAUUAGUGCUGAAUCCAGUUGUGCCCGGACCAGAAGAGACACCAGAGCCAGUCCCGUCCCCUCCCCGGGCUGGUCAUAGCAGGGCCAUUUCCUAUUCUUCCACCACCUUACCUGGGCAGGUCAGACCCGGUUCACCUGACCGCUCACAGACGUAUUCU
RNAcentral lists this long non-coding RNA (347 nucleotides) under Homo sapiens (human). RNAcentral describes it as "non-protein coding LINC01586:4". Lineage: Eukaryota; Metazoa; Chordata; Mammalia; Primates; Hominidae. The record is from RNAcentral.